Molecule: ribosomal RNA, 462 nt
Filed under: uncultured bacterium
Lineage: Bacteria
Description: partial 16S ribosomal RNA
Rfam family: Bacterial small subunit ribosomal RNA
Source: RNAcentral
GACGAACGCUGGCGGCGUGCUUAACACAUGCAAGUCGAACGGUAAGGCCUUUCGGGGUACACGAGUGGCGAACGGGUGAGUAACACGUGGGUGAUCUGCCCUGCACUUCGGGAUAAGCCCGGGAAACUGGGUCUAAUACCGGAUAGGACUGCGCGGUGCAUGCCGUGUGGUGGAAAGAUUUAUCGGUGCAGGAUGGGCCCGCGGCCUAUCAGCUUGUUGGUGGGGUAAUGGCCUACCAAGGCGACGACGGGUAGCCGGCCUGAGAGGGCGACCGGCCACACUGGGACUGAGACACGGCCCAGACUCCUACGGGAGGCAGCAGUGGGGAAUAUUGCACAAUGGGCGCAAGCCUGAUGCAGCGACGCCGCGUGAGGGAUGACGGCCUUCGGGUUGUAAACCUCUUUCAGCAGGGACGAAGCGUGAGUGACGGUACCUGCAGAAGAGGCACCGGCCAACUACGUG